Long non-coding RNA from Telopea speciosissima, 539 nucleotides. RefSeq lists it as uncharacterized. The transcript is spliced from 5 exons. The record is from RefSeq and is a predicted model, not a curated record. Lineage: Eukaryota; Viridiplantae; Streptophyta; Magnoliopsida; Proteales; Proteaceae.
GUCCAGAACUAUUUGAUGUUUGAAAUAAUAUCUGUAGUUUCUAGCUGCAGUUUCAAUCCCAUUGAUUCCUUCGUAUGGUUUGAACUAUAUGGAUCUCCAUCUGACCGUGAUGUUGACAUCAUUGGUAGUGUUAUUCAGUCAUGGUAUGUCAUGGGACGUUUGGGAGCAUUUAACUCUUCUAAUUUGUAGUUGGCAAAUACAUCCAUGGAGUAUAAUCCUCUCUAUGAUGCAGAUAAAGGAUUCAAAGUGAUGCCAUCAUCAUUCCACGAUAUUUGUGAUGUGGAAUUUUAGGAGAACUGGGGCCGGGUUUGGGUAGACCUUGGGACAUCUGAUUUCUUUGCAGUUGAUGUACUCCUCAAUUGCUUAACUGUAUUGAGCUCUGAAUAUAUAGGUAUUCAACAGGUGGUUUUUGGUGGUCGGUGCAUGGGUGAUUGGGAAGAAGGUAUGACGAGUCCUGAGUUCGGAUACAAGUACUUUAAGAACUGAAGUGAGAAUGGAUGUAGAUUUAUUUACUUUUUCCAAGCCUAUGUGUAUGUGGG